RNAcentral lists this ribosomal RNA (586 nucleotides) under Bacillus subtilis. RNAcentral describes it as "bacterial SSU rRNA". It matches the Rfam family "Bacterial small subunit ribosomal RNA", at positions 173 to 747 of the family's 1533-position model. Lineage: Bacteria; Bacillati; Bacillota; Bacilli; Caryophanales; Bacillaceae. The record is from RNAcentral.
UUGUUUGAACCGCAUGGUUCAGACAUAAAAGGUGGCUUCGGCUACCACUUACAGAUGGACCCGCGGCGCAUUAGCUAGUUGGUGGGGUAACGGCUCACCAAGGCGACGAUGCGUAGCCGACCUGAGAGGGUGAUCGGCCACACUGGGACUGAGACACGGCCCAGACUCCUACGGGAGGCAGCAGUAGGGAAUCUUCCGCAAUGGACGAAAGUCUGACGGAGCAACGCCGCGUGAGUGAUGAAGGUUUUCGGAUCGUAAAGCUCUGUUGUUAGGGAAGAACAAGUGCCGUUCAAAUAGGGCGGCACCUUGACGGUACCUAACCAGAAAGCCACGGCUAACUACGUGCCAGCAGCCGCGGUAAUACGUAGGUGGCAAGCGUUGUCCGGAAUUAUUGGGCGUAAAGGGCUCGCAGGCGGUUUCUUAAGUCUGAUGUGAAAGCCCCCGGCUCAACCGGGGAGGGUCAUUGGAAACUGGGGAACUUGAGUGCAGAAGAGGAGAGUGGAAUUCCACGUGUAGCGGUGAAAUGCGUAGAGAUGUGGAGGAACACCAGUGGCGAAAGGCGACUCUCUGGUCUGUAACUGACGCU